CGCGGGAUUAAGGUAGGGUCGGUGACUGGGGCUAAGUCGUAACAAGGUAGCCGUACGGGAACGUGCGGCUGGAUCACCUCCUUUCAAAG
Molecule: ribosomal RNA, 89 nt
Filed under: Caldifarciminota bacterium
Lineage: Bacteria; Pseudomonadati; Caldifarciminota
Description: candidate division WOR-3 bacterium (sediment metagenome) partial 16S ribosomal RNA
Rfam family: Bacterial small subunit ribosomal RNA
Source: RNAcentral